Long non-coding RNA from Pipistrellus kuhlii (Kuhl's pipistrelle), 126 nucleotides. RefSeq lists it as uncharacterized. The record is from RefSeq and is a predicted model, not a curated record. Lineage: Eukaryota; Metazoa; Chordata; Mammalia; Chiroptera; Vespertilionidae. The transcript is spliced from 3 exons.
AGUAUGAGAGAGUUAUUUGUCAAAAACUGAAGUUUUGGUGGACAACCAAGACAUUUUUUCUGUGAACAACUUGGUCAAGAACCGAAUUGUUUGAGAUGGGAGACAUUGGAGAACAGAGGUUUGACU